GGCGUCCGAGUUGUAAUUUGUAGAGGAUGCUAUUGGGUUGCCACCGGUCUAAGUUCCUUGGAACAGGACGUCACAGAGGGUGAGAAUCCCGUACGUGACCGGCCAGGCGCUCUCUGUAUAGCUCCUUCGACGAGUCGGGUUGUUUGGGAAUGCAGCCCUAAAUGGGAGGUAAAUUUCUUCUAAAGCUAAAUACCGGCCAGAGACCGAUAGCGCACAAGUAGAGUGAUCGAAAGAUGAAAAGCACUUUGGAAAGAGAGUUAAAAAGCACGUGAAAUUGUUGAAAGGGAAGCGCUUGCAAUCAGUCUCGACGGCGGCUGUUCGGCCUCUCUUCUGAGUGGUUUAUUCAGUCGCCGCCGGGCCAGCAUCAGUUUUGGCGGCCGGAUAAAGGCGCGGGGAAUGUAGCUCCCUCGGGAGUGUUAUAGCCCCGCGUGCAAUACGGCCCGCCGGGACUGAGGUCCGCGCUUCGGCUAGGAUGCUGGCGAAAUGGUUGUAAGCGGCCCGUCUUGAAACACGGACCAAGGAGUCUAACAUCUACGCGAGUGUUUGGGUGUCAAACCCGUGCGCGCAAUGAAAGUGAACGGAGGUGGGAACCGCAAGGUGCACCAUCGACCGAUCCUGAUGUCUUCGGAUGGAUUUGAGUAAGAGCGUAGCUGUUGGGACCCGAAAGAUGGUGAACUAUGCCUGAAUAGGGUGAAGCCAGAGGAAACUCUGGUGGAGGCUCGCAGCGGUUCUGACG
This 736-nucleotide ribosomal RNA is filed under the name Elsinoe fici. RNAcentral describes it as "eukaryotic LSU rRNA". It matches the Rfam family "Eukaryotic large subunit ribosomal RNA", at positions 133 to 891 of the family's 3401-position model. The record is from RNAcentral. Lineage: Eukaryota; Fungi; Ascomycota; Dothideomycetes; Myriangiales; Elsinoaceae. RNAcentral also lists the same sequence under 1 other name.